RNAcentral lists this ribosomal RNA (756 nucleotides) under uncultured bacterium. Its description in RNAcentral is "bacterial SSU rRNA". It matches the Rfam family "Bacterial small subunit ribosomal RNA", at positions 8 to 796 of the family's 1533-position model. The record is from RNAcentral.
AGAGUUUGAUCAUGGCUCAGAAUCAACGCUGGCGGCGUGCCUAACACAUGCAAGUCGCACGAGAAAGGGGCUUCGGUCCUGAGUAAAGUGGCGCACGGGUGAGUAACACGUGAAUGAUCUACCUCCGAGUGGGGAAUAACUGAGAGAAAUCUUAGCUAAUACCGCAUAACACUUACGAGUCAAAGCAGCAAUGCGCUUGGAGAGGAGUUCGCGGCCGAUUAGUUAGUUGGCGGGGUAAUGGCCCACCAAGACGAUGAUCGGUAUCCGGCCUGAGAGGGCGCACGGACACACUGGAACUGAAACACGGUCCAGACUCCUACGGGAGGCAGCAGUGGGGAAUUUUGCGCAAUGGGGGAAACCCUGACGCAGCAACGCCGCGUGGAGGAUGAAGUAUCUUGGUACGUAAACUCCUUUCGAUGGGGAAGAUAAUGACGGUACCCAUAGAAGAAGCCCCGGCUAACUUCGUGCCAGCAGCCGCGGUAAUACGAGGGGGGCAAGCGUUGUUCGGAAUUAUUGGGCGUAAAGGGUGCGUAGGCGGUUUGAUAAGUCUGAUGUGAAAUCUCUGGGCUCAACCCAGAGUCUGCAUUAGAAACUGUCGGGCUUGAGUAUGGGAGAGGUGCGUGGAAUUUCCGGUGUAGCGGUGAAAUGCGUAGAUAUCGGAAGGAACACCUGUGGCGAAAGCGGCUCACUGGACCAUAACUGACGCUGAGGCACGAAAGCUAGGGGAGCAAACAGGAUUAGAUACCCUAGUAGUCC